Molecule: non-coding RNA, 513 nt
Organism: Myotis davidii
Lineage: Eukaryota; Metazoa; Chordata; Mammalia; Chiroptera; Vespertilionidae
Source: the annotation of a RefSeq genome assembly
UGAGGUCUCUGGGAAGAUAGAGCUGUGGUCUAGAAGAAGAUGAGACUGCUGGGUCUUCUCCUAUGUCUGGUGUCAGCCCCCGAAGGUGUCCUGUCCCAGGUGCAGCUGCGAGAGUGGGGCCCAGGACUGGUGAAGCACUCACAGACCCUCUCCGUCACCUGCGCAGACCAUGGAGUUUCCAUCACAACCAGUGGUUACUGCUGGAAUUGGAUUCGCCAGCCUCCGGGGAAGGGGCUGGAGUGGAUGGGGUGCAUAGAUUAUGAUGGGAACACUUACUACAGCCCCUCACUCAAGACCCGAACCUCCAUCUCCAGAGACACAUCCAAAAACCAGGUCUCCCUGCAACUAAGUUCUGUGACCAUGGAUGAUACAGCUGUGUAUUACUGUGUGAGAGACACAAGUGAUCUCACCGUAUCCACACGCACUGUGACCUCAUCCACUUUCUCACCCACUGUCCACACCCACUAUGUCCUCACCCACUGUGACCUCAAGCACUGUCUUCACCCACUGUGA